CAGCAGCCGCGGUAAUACGUAGGUGGCAAGCGCUGUCCGGAAUUAUUGGGCGUAAAGGGCUCGCAGGCGGUUUCUUAAGUCUGAUGUGAAAGCCCCCGGCUCAACCGGGGAGGGUCAUUGGAAACUGGGAAACUUGAGUGCAGAAGAGGAGAGUGGAAUUCCACGUGUAGCGGUGAAAUGCGUAGAGAUGUGGAGGAACACCAGUGGCGAAGGCGACUCUCUGGUCUGUAACUGACGCUGAGGAGCGAAAGCGUGGGGAGCGAACAGGAUUAGAUACCCCGGUAGUCCCUGUCUCUUAUAC
RNAcentral lists this ribosomal RNA (301 nucleotides) under uncultured bacterium. Its description in RNAcentral is "partial 16S ribosomal RNA". It matches the Rfam family "Bacterial small subunit ribosomal RNA", at positions 509 to 807 of the family's 1533-position model. The record is from RNAcentral.